This 1374-nucleotide ribosomal RNA is filed under the name Burkholderia sp. Its description in RNAcentral is "bacterial SSU rRNA". It matches the Rfam family "Bacterial small subunit ribosomal RNA", at positions 56 to 1428 of the family's 1533-position model. Lineage: Bacteria; Pseudomonadati; Pseudomonadota; Betaproteobacteria; Burkholderiales; Burkholderiaceae. The record is from RNAcentral.
UGCANUCGAACGGCAGCACGGNNNGCUUGCACCUGGUGGCGAGUGGCGAACGGGUGAGUAAUACAUCGGAACAUGUCCUGUAGUGGGGGAUAGCCCGGCGAAAGCCGGAUUAAUACCGCAUACGAUCCANGGAUGAAAGCGGGGGACCUUCGGGCCUCGCGCUAUAGGGUUGGCCGAUGGCUGAUUAGCUAGUUGGUGGGGUAAAGGCCUACCAAGGCGACGAUCAGUAGCUGGUCUGAGAGGACGACCAGCCACACUGGGACUGAGACACGGCCCAGACUCCUACGGGAGGCAGCAGUGGGGAAUUUUGGACAAUGGGCGAAAGCCUGAUCCAGCAAUGCCGCGUGUGUGAAGAAGGCCUUCGGGUUGUAAAGCACUUUUGUCCGGAAAGAAAACCUCUGGGUUAAUACCCUGGGGGGAUGACGGUACCGGAAGAAUAAGCACCGGCUAACUACGUGCCAGCAGCCGCGGUAAUACGUAGGGUGCGAGCGUUAAUCGGAAUUACUGGGCGUAAAGCGUGCGCAGGCGGUUUGUUAAGACAGAUGUGAAAUCCCCGGGCUCAACCUGGGAACUGCAUUUGUGACUGGCAGGCUAGAGUAUGGCAGAGGGGGGUAGAAUUCCACGUGUAGCAGUGAAAUGCGUAGAGAUGUGGAGGAAUACCGAUGGCGAAGGCAGCCCCCUGGGCCAAUACUGACGCUCAUGCACGAAAGCGUGGGGGAGCAAACAGGAUUAGAUACCCUGGUAGUCCACGCCCUNAACGAUGUCAACUAGUUGUUGGGGAUUCAUUUCCUUAGUAACGUAGCUAACGCGUGAAGUUGACCGCCUGGGGAGUACGGUCGCAAGAUUAAAACUCAAAGGAAUUGACGGGGACCCGCACAAGCGGUGGAUGAUGUGGAUUAAUUCGAUGCAACGCGAAAAACCUUACCUACCCUUGACAUGGUCGGAAUCCUGAAGAGAUUCGGGAGUGCUCGAAAGAGAACCGGCGCACAGGUGCUGCAUGGCUGUCGUCAGCUCGUGUCGUGAGAUGUUGGGUUAAGUCCCGCAACGNNNGCAACCCUUGUCCUUAGUUGNNANGCAAGAGCACUCUAAGGAGACUGCCGGUGACAAACCGGAGGAAGGUGGGGAUGACGUCAAGUCCUCAUGGCCCUUAUGGGUAGGGCUUCACACGUCAUACAAUGGUCGGAACAGAGGGUUGCCAACCCGCGAGGGGGAGCUAAUCCCAGAAAACCGAUCGUAGUCCGGAUUGCACUCUGCAACUCGAGUGCAUGAAGCUGGAAUCGCUAGUAAUCGCGGAUCAGCAUNCCGCGGUGAAUACGUUCCCGGGUCUUGUACACACCGCCCNNNNNNNNAUGGGAGUGGGUUUUACCAGAAGUG